Molecule: long non-coding RNA, 292 nt
Filed under: Coffea arabica (coffee)
Lineage: Eukaryota; Viridiplantae; Streptophyta; Magnoliopsida; Gentianales; Rubiaceae
Description: long non-coding RNA (CARA_LNC003446)
Source: RNAcentral
UCAGGUCCCACCCUCAAUCAGACUGGGCGACAGACGAGAAAUGCUUUAUGGAAAGAGUCAUGUUUACAAGCUCGAGGAAUCUAAGGGGCGGUAACAAAAUGAAACAAGUAAGGAAGGGGAAGUACUUUCAGAGAAGAGCAAGGCAUUCCAAUUGCCAGUUGAUCGAUCCUUUUCAUUCGAUUGAGUUCCGACCCCGAGUUCAACACACGGGUAAGCUUCUUCUUCCUCUUCUCAUCUUGAGUGUCUUUUAUUAUUACUGGAUGUAACCUAAAAGAAAGAAAAGGAUAACGCC